AACGCUGGCGGCAUGCCUAAUACAUGCAAGUCGCACGAGAAAGUCCUUCGGGAUGAGUAGAGUGGCGCACGGGUGAGUAAUACAUAGGAACGUGCCUUUAGGAGGGGAAUAACCACGGGAAACUGUGGCUAAUUCCGCAUGAUGUCGAGAGACCAAAGGGGGCCUCUUCUAAGCUCCCACCUAAAGAGCGGCCUAUGUCCCAUUAGCUAGUUGGCGGGGUAAAAGCCCACCAAGGCGACGAUGGGUAGCUGGUCUGAGAGGAUGAUCAGCCACACUGGGACUGAGACACGGCCCAGACUCCUACGGGAGGCAGCAGUAGGGAAUAUUGCACAAUGGAGGAAACUCUGAUGCAGCAAUGCCGCGUGAGUGAAGAAGGCUCUUGGGUUGUAAAGCUCUUUCGGCUGGGAAGAAGGGUCUGCUUGCGAACAGUUAGCAGAUUUGACGGUACCAGAAGAAGAAGCACCGGCUAACUCCGUGCCAGCAGCCGCGGUAAUACGGAGGGUGCAAGCGUUGUUCGGAAUCACUGGGCGUAAAGCGCACGUAGGCGGAAAUUUAAGUCAAUUGUGAAAUACCUAGGCUCAACCUGGGAGUGGCAGUUGAAACUGGAUUUCUUGAAUGCCUGAGGGGGUGGCGGAAUUCCUGGUGUAGAAGUGAAAUUCGUAGAUAUCAGGAGGAACACCUGAGGCGAAGGCGGCUGCCUGGCAGUGCAUUGACGCUGAGGUGCGAAAGUGUGGGGAGCAAACAGGAUUAGAUACCCUGGUAGUCCACACCGUAAACUAUGGAUACUAGGUGUUCGGAGUGUUAACCCUCUGAGUACCGUAGCUCACGCAUUAAGUAUCCCGCCUGGGAAGUACGGUCGCAAGGCUAAAACUCAAAGGAAUUGACGGGGGCCCGCACAAGCGGUGGAGUAUGUGGUUUAAUUCGAAGCAACGCGCAGAACCUUACCUGGGUUUGACAUCCCUUGACAGUCCCAGAGAUGGGAUCUCUCCUUCGGGAGCAGGGAGACAGGUGCUGCAUGGCUGUCGUCAGCUCGUGUCGUAAGAUGUUGGGUUAAGUCCCGCAACGAGCGCAACCCUUGCCCUUAGUUGCCAUCAUUGAGUUGGGCACUCUGAGGGGACCGCCGGUGUUAAACCGGAGGAAGGCGGGGAUGACGUCAAGUCCUCAUGGCCCUUACAUCCAGGGCUACACACGUACUACAAUGGCAGACACAAAGGGUUGCGAAGCCGCGAGGUGGAGCUAAUCCCAAAAACGCUGUCUCAGUCCGGAUUGAAGUCUGCAACUCGACUUCAUGAAGUUGGAAUCGCUAGUAAUCCCAGAUCAGCACGCUGGGGUGAAUACGUUCCCGGGCCUGCA
RNAcentral lists this ribosomal RNA (1353 nucleotides) under uncultured bacterium. Its description in RNAcentral is "bacterial SSU rRNA". It matches the Rfam family "Bacterial small subunit ribosomal RNA", at positions 32 to 1385 of the family's 1533-position model. The record is from RNAcentral.